This 1352-nucleotide long non-coding RNA is filed under the name Carica papaya (papaya). Its description in RNAcentral is "long non-coding RNA (CPAP_LNC003572)". Lineage: Eukaryota; Viridiplantae; Streptophyta; Magnoliopsida; Brassicales; Caricaceae. The record is from RNAcentral.
GAGAAAAUUGAUAUACAAUAUCUAAUUUAUAAAACCGAUCAGGCGUAUAUAUAUAAAUAUAUAUAGUUACCUACAUAUGUAGGUGGGUAUUUCAUGUGAAUGGUAACCAACCAUUAGGAUCUGUCUGGUUGAUUGAAAUUAAGUUCUUGGCGAAGGUUAAGGCGAGAAUCUCCAUGUUGACCAAGCAAAAUUUGUCAGACGAUGAUCUGAGUCUUAACCCUGCAAAAAUGGUGGAAUAUGAGAUGCCAAGUGUUGGAUUAUAAGUUUCAUCCAUUACCUAUAAAUACCAUUCAUGUCUCCUGGCUUUUCAAUCAGCUUUCAUUUCAUUCACAAUUCAAACUUAUAUAUGCACACAUUUAUAAUACCAAAUUCUUCAAGUAGGUCAAGAAAAUGGCAAGCCAACAAUCCCACAACUUGGCAAACAAGGCUGGUGAAGCUGCUGGCCAUCUUCAGGUCAUCUCUUCUCUUUAUUACACAAUUGAUAUUUUAUUUUUUAUUAAUAAUAACACAUGAGAACACGGAUUUUCACUUGAACUUACAAAUUCUUAUAAAAUAAGAAAAUAUCGACUAUUUAUCCGGAAAAUGAUUAAGCAACUAAUGGAUUAAACAUAUAUAGAUAAUUAACCUAAAUGGGUUUUAUAAUUUGCAGAUGAAGAAGGAGGAGUGCCUGAACCAGACAUCCCAUGCCAUGAACAGGGCAACUGAAAACCAGUCUGCUAACAACCCUAAUUCUUAUGCUUCCCAAGCUACCAACUUCCUUCAACAGGCAGCACUCAAAUCUCUCUCUCUCUCUCUCUCUCUCUCUCUCUCUCUCUCUCUCUCUUAUAUAUUCCCAACCAAUAUAAUUUUAUAUUUAAUUUAUUAUCAUACACUAAAUAGAGACUUAAUAAUUUUACUAAAUAAUCAAAACCCAAAACUUAAAAUGAGAAAACAAUAGGUUUGAACCAAAUGAAACGUAUAGUAAUCGAAAUUUACGUGUAUGGAUUUGCAGACAGGAGAGCAAGUGAAGAACAUGGCACAAGGAGCAGCUGAGGCAGUGAAGAACACUCUUGGAAUGAACAAUGAAAACAAUCCUUCCGGCCACAACGAAAACAAUCCUUCCCCCCACAAUUCAAACAAUUCUUCCUCCCACAACUCAAAUAAUCCUUCCUCCCACAACUCAAACAAUCCUUCCUCCCACAACUCAAAGAAUCCUUCCUCCCACAUUUCAAAGAACCCAAAUCCAUCUACCAGGAUUUGAAGAAAUCUACAUCUCAUAUCAUUCUAUUGGGAGUUUAUUUGAUUUGAUUCGAUUUUUCUUUUCUGGUUUUCGUAAUAAGAAGUUGUUGAGAUGCAUGUAUUCUCUCUCUUCA